GUUCAUGUAGCUUAUAUAAAGCAAAGCACUGAAAAUGCUUAGAUGGAUGCAAGCAUCCCAUAAACA
RNAcentral lists this transfer RNA (66 nucleotides) under Bramus lutescens (Transcaucasian mole vole). Its description in RNAcentral is "tRNA-Phe". It matches the Rfam family "tRNA". Rfam says of the family: Transfer RNA (tRNA) molecules are approximately 80 nucleotides in length. Their secondary structure includes four short double-helical elements and three loops (D, anti-codon, and T loops). The record is from RNAcentral. Lineage: Eukaryota; Metazoa; Chordata; Mammalia; Rodentia; Cricetidae.